GAUGAACGCUGGCGGCGUGCCUAAUACAUGCAAGUCGAGCGAACAGACGAGGAGCUUGCUCCUCUGAUGUUAGCGGCGGACGGGUGAGUAACACGUGGAUAACCUACCUAUAAGACUGGGAUAACUUCGGGAAACCGGAGCUAAUACCGGAUAACAUGUUGAACCGCAUGGUUCAACAGUGAAAGACGGUCUUGCUGUCACUUAUAGAUGGAUCCGCGCCGCAUUAGCUAGUUGGUAAGGUAACGGCUUACCAAGGCAACGAUGCGUAGCCGACCUGAGAGGGUGAUCGGCCACACUGGAACGGAGACACGGUCCAGACUCCUACGGGAGGCAGAAGUAGGGAAUCUUCGGCAAUGGGCGAAAGCCUGACGGAGCAACGCCGCGUGAGUGAAGAAGGUCUUCGGAUCGUAAAACUCUGUUAUUAGGGAAGAACAAAUGUGUAAGUAACUAUGCACGUCUUGACGGUACCUAAUCAGAAAGCCACGGCUAACUACGUG
This 497-nucleotide ribosomal RNA is filed under the name uncultured bacterium. Its description in RNAcentral is "partial 16S ribosomal RNA". It matches the Rfam family "Bacterial small subunit ribosomal RNA", at positions 28 to 507 of the family's 1533-position model. The record is from RNAcentral.